CAUCUCCAGCUCAACCAGGUUUGCCUACCUCUAUAACUACUCCUUCUAUUCCUCUUCCACCACAAAGAACUCAUCUAAUGACUACAUGAUCCAUGAAUAAUAUAUUUAAACCAAAACAGCUACAUAUUGCUACUAAGCAUGUAAUUUCUUCGUCUUCAGAACCUCAUUCAGUUUCUCAAGCCUCGUAGGAUCAAAACUGGAG
This 202-nucleotide long non-coding RNA is filed under the name Elaeis guineensis (African oil palm). RNAcentral's name for it is "long non-coding RNA (EGUI_LNC010089)". The record is from RNAcentral. Lineage: Eukaryota; Viridiplantae; Streptophyta; Magnoliopsida; Arecales; Arecaceae.